This 282-nucleotide long non-coding RNA is filed under the name Zostera marina. Its description in RNAcentral is "long non-coding RNA (ZMAR_LNC001628)". Lineage: Eukaryota; Viridiplantae; Streptophyta; Magnoliopsida; Alismatales; Zosteraceae. The record is from RNAcentral.
UUUCCUGGGAUGAACUUUUUGCCGCGCCGAGUUUGGCUAGUACGUCAGCCUCUUCAAUAUAGUUUCUUUUCACUAAGUUUAUUUUUAUUGAGUCGAAAUUUUUUAUUGCUUUUGAUAAAGCACUGAAUCUGCUACCAAGAGGCUCACGGGGUUGCGAGGAGGGCCGGAGGCUCUGGAGUCCACGACGCGUGCUCAACGUCAAAUCCCGUCAGAGGAGAAUAGACGAUUUAGGUGUGGAAAUCGACGAUUCUCUCUGGUAUACUCUAGUGUGGUUGGAACUUG